CCUACGGGCGGCAGCAGUGAGGAAUAUUGGUCAAUGGGCGCGAGCCUGAACCAGCCAAGUAGCGUGAAGGAUGACUGCCCUACGGGUUGUAAACUUCUUUUAUAAAGGAAUAAAGUGCGGCACGUGUGCCUUUUUGUAUGUACUUUAUGAAUAAGGCUCGGCUAACUCCGUGCCAGCAGCCGCGGUAAUACGGAGGAUCCGAGCGUUAUCCGGAUUUAUUGGGUUUAAAGGGAGCGUAGAUGGGUUUUUAAGUCAGUUGUGAAAGUUGGGGGCUCAACCGUAAAAUUGCAGUUGAUACUGGCAUCCUUGAGUACAGUAGAGGUAGGCGGAAUUCGUGGUGUAGCGGUGAAAUGCUUAGAUAUCACGAAGAACUCCGAUUGCGAAGGCAGCCUACUGGACUGCCACUGACGUUGAUGCUCGAAAGUGUGGGUAUCAAACAGGAUUAGAUACCCUAGUAGUC
This 460-nucleotide ribosomal RNA is filed under the name uncultured bacterium. RNAcentral's name for it is "partial 16S ribosomal RNA". It matches the Rfam family "Bacterial small subunit ribosomal RNA", at positions 338 to 795 of the family's 1533-position model. The record is from RNAcentral.